AGAGUUUGAUCAUGGCUCAGGAUGAACGCUAGCGGGAGGCCUAACACAUGCAAGCCGAGCGGUAUUGUUUCUUCGGAAAUGAGAGAGCGGCGUACGGGUGCGGAACACGUGUGCAACCUGCCUUUAUCUGGGGGAUAGCCUUUCGAAAGGAAGAUUAAUACUCCAUAAUAUAUUGAACGGCAUCGUUUAAUAUUGAAAGCUCCGGCGGAUAGAGAUGGGCACGCGCAAGAUUAGCUAGUUGGUGAGGUAACGGCUCACCAAGGCGAUGAUCUUUAGGGGGCCUGAGAGGGUGAUCCCCCACACUGGUACUGAGACACGGACCAGACUCCUACGGGAGGCAGCAGUGAGGAAUAUUGGUCAAUGGGUGCAAGCCUGAACCAGCCAUCCCGCGUGAAGGACGACUGCCCUAUGGGUUGUAAACUUCUUUUGUAUAGGGAUAAACCUACCCUCGUGAGGGUAGCUGAAGGUACUAUACGAAUAAGCACCGGCUAACUCCGUGCCAGCAGCCGCGGUAAUACGGAGGGUGUAAGCGUUAUCCGGAUUUAUUGGGUUUAAAGGGUCCGUAGGCGGACUUAUAAGUCAGUGGUGAAAGCCUGUCGCUUAACGAUAGAACUGCCAUUGAUACUGUAAGUCUUGAGUAUAUUUGAGGUAGCUGGAAUAAGUAGUGUAGCGGUGAAAUGCAUAGAUAUUACUUAGAACACCAAUUGCGAAGGCAGGUUACCAAGAUAUAACUGACGCUGAGGGACGAAAGCGUGGGGAGCGAACAGGAUUAGAUACCCCGGUAGUCCAA
Molecule: ribosomal RNA, 790 nt
Filed under: uncultured bacterium
Lineage: Bacteria
Description: bacterial SSU rRNA
Rfam family: Bacterial small subunit ribosomal RNA
Source: RNAcentral